GACGAACGCUGGCGGCGCGCCUAACACAUGCAAGUCGAGCGAUGAAGCUUCCUUCGGGAAGCGGAUUAGCGGCGGACGGGUGAGUAACACGUGAGCAACCUGCCCCAAAGAGGGGGAUAGCCUCCCGAAAGGGAGAUUAAUACCGCAUAAUAUCAGAAUUUCGCAUGAUUUUCUGAUUAAAGGAGUAAUCCACUUUGAGAUGGGCUCGCGGCGCAUUAGCUAGUUGGUGAGGUAACGGCUCACCAAGGCGACGAUGCGUAGCCGACCUGAGAGGGUGAUCGGCCACAUUGGGACUGAGACACGGCCCAGACUCCGUACGGGAGGCAGCAGGUGGGGAAUAUUGCGCAAUGGACGAAAGUCUGACGCAGCAACGCCGCGUGGGUGAUGAAGGUCUUCGGAUUGUAAAGCCCUGUCUUCGAGGACGAUAAUGACGGUACUCGAGGAGGAAGCCACGGCUAACUACGUG
RNAcentral lists this ribosomal RNA (466 nucleotides) under uncultured bacterium. RNAcentral describes it as "bacterial SSU rRNA". It matches the Rfam family "Bacterial small subunit ribosomal RNA", at positions 28 to 507 of the family's 1533-position model. The record is from RNAcentral.